AACUAAAAAACAAAUCUUUGUGCUUCAGUUUCGGCCUGAUUUUUGGCUUUAAGGCCUUUAGUUA
Molecule: transfer RNA, 64 nt
Filed under: Globospongicola spinulatus
Lineage: Eukaryota; Metazoa; Arthropoda; Malacostraca; Decapoda; Spongicolidae
Description: tRNA-Arg
Source: RNAcentral